GUAGGUGAACCUGCGGAAGGAUCAUUAACGAGUAAGGGGCCUCGUGCCCCGGGGGUUUCGGCCCCAACUCUUCACCCACUGCCUACCUACCUCUGUUGCUUUGGCGGGCCUUCGGGUAAAACCGAUGCCGGCCCGGGGAACCUCCCUGGGCUCGCGAGUGCCCGCCGAAGAUCAUUUAAAUUCUGUUUUACGAGUGUUGUCUGAGCUGAUAUACAAUAACUAAAAACUUUCAACAACGGAUCUCUUGGUUCUG
RNAcentral lists this unclassified non-coding RNA (253 nucleotides) under rhizosphere metagenome. RNAcentral describes it as "partial ribosomal RNA internal transcribed spacer region". The record is from RNAcentral.